GUCCGGGGGCCUGUGACCCGGAGGCGCUGGGGCUGUCCUGGGUCGUCACAUGCGAGAAAUCGUCUCACCCCAGCCAGUGUGACGGAGUGAGAGCAAAAGAAAGUUUUGAUAGCAGCGUACGAUUUAUAUUCAGCUGUAUGCUGGGCAGGUCCAACUUGGCAUUUCUUGGCUGUAUCUCUGAAGGAAAGUCAUCUUAAUCUCUAUGAGCCUCCAUUUCCUCAGCUGUAAAAUGGGAAGAUCUUCCUCACACUGCUGUGCAACAACAUUUACCCCUUCUGAAACUCACCCAGAGGAAGCGGAUUUUCUGACGCAUAUGAAGAGUGAGAACUGUCUACAUCUAAGUCUUCUUUGAGAACAAUACCAGCUGAGCGGCUAUUUACAUUCCAGCUUCUUUUGAGAAUCUCUGAAGAUGAUUAAGUCAUUGUCAGCUGGCCCAGAACCAUAUCCUGCUCCACAAGCCUCGUCCUUGGCAAGAAGUUGCACCUGCCCAGAGAGAAAACCUUUUGAAACUGGCACAAAGGCACUGGAGAGACUGGCAGGGCCCCCUACUUGACGAUCUGGCUCAUCCAUCUGCACACUGACCACGCUAAGAGCUGUCUGCAGUGAUGGAAACCUUCUCUAGCUGUGCUGUCCUCUAUAGUGGCACCAGCUGCCUGUGGCUACUGAGCACUUCAACUGUGGCUGCAGAGACUAUGUUAAAUUGUAUUUAAUCAUAAUUAAUUUAAUUGUAAACAACUACAUGUGGCUAGUGGUUUCUGUACUGGGCACUGCAGGUGCACAUUUCCUGCUGGCCAUGGACAGUAAGCUCCAUAAGAGACUAAUUGUGCCUGGUUUGCUUAUAGGCUUAUCCUCAGCACCUGCACCAGCCUAGAAUAUGAUUGGCACUCUAUUAAUUAAAAGUUCCCAGGUAAAUGAAUUAGUGGAUUCUCUGUUUCCUCCACUAUGCCACAACCUCCUUAAGGGCAGAGAUGGUGUCUUCAAAAAAAAAAAAUUCUGGUCAAAAACACAUAAGAUCUACCACCUUCACCAUUGUUGUGUCCAGUUCAGUAGUAUUAACUACACUUACAUUGUGAUACAACAAAAGAUUGUGUCUUUUUACAUUCUUAGGACCCAGCACAGUGUCUGGCACAUAAUCUUAGUAAACACUGGCAGAGCACAUGCCUUUGCCAAGGCCAGAACAGAGGUUCAGUGCCAUCCAUUACCACCCUUUCACACAUCCACUGGGGCUUUAAAAACAACCUGGAAUGAAAGCUGUUGAGUCUA
Molecule: long non-coding RNA, 1263 nt
Filed under: Homo sapiens (human)
Lineage: Eukaryota; Metazoa; Chordata; Mammalia; Primates; Hominidae
Description: non-protein coding SRP14-AS1:4
Source: RNAcentral